GUACGUAGUUGGAGAGUCGCUAUACUUUUAAAGUAUAGAGGAAAGUCCGAGCUUCGCUGAAGAAAAAUGCUAGGUAAUGCCUAGCUAGGUAUUAAUGCCUAAGGGAAAGUGCAACAGAAAAUAUACCGCCUUUAUGGUAAGGGUGAAAAGGUGAGGUAAGAGCUUACCGUGAUCUCGGUGACGAGAUUUGCAUUGCAAACCCCAUUUGAAGCAAGAUCAAGUAGCAGAACAUGCAAGAUUUAUUUCUUGCCUCUCCUCUUCUGAGAGUAAUUGUUCUAGGGUAGAUCGCUGGAACUUGCUGGAGACGGCAAGGCUAGAGAAAUGACUCUCGGUGCUAUUAGCACUACAGAACUCGGCUUAUAUACUACGUGCGCAC
RNAcentral lists this RNase P RNA (376 nucleotides) under Candidatus Fokinia solitaria. RNAcentral's name for it is "Bacterial RNase P class A". It matches the Rfam family "Bacterial RNase P class A". From Rfam's summary of the family: Ribonuclease P (RNase P) is a ubiquitous endoribonuclease, found in archaea, bacteria and eukarya as well as chloroplasts and mitochondria. Its best characterised activity is the generation of mature 5'-ends of tRNAs by cleaving the 5'-leader elements of precursor-tRNAs. Lineage: Bacteria; Pseudomonadati; Pseudomonadota; Alphaproteobacteria; Rickettsiales; Candidatus Midichloriaceae. The record is from Rfam by way of RNAcentral.